AUUGAACGCUGGCGGCAUGCCUACACAUGCAAGUCGAACGGCAGCGGGGGAGAAGCUUGCUUUUCCUGCCGGCGAGUGGCGAACGGGUGAGUAAUACAUCGGAACGUGCCCUGUAGUGGGGGAUAACUAGUCGAAAGAUUAGCUAAUACCGCAUACGACCUGAGGGUGAAAGUGGGGGACCGCAAGGCCUCAUGCUAUAGGAGCGGCCGAUGUCUGAUUAGCUAGUUGGUGGGGUAAAGGCCUACCAAGGCGACGAUCAGUAGCUGGUCUGAGAGGACGAUCAGCCACACUGGGACUGAGACACGGCCCAGACUCCCACGGGAGGCAGCAGUGGGGAAUUUUGGACAAUGGGCGAAAGCCUGAUCCAGCAAUGCCGCGUGUGUGAAGAAGGCCUUCGGGUUGUAAAGCACUUUUGUCCGGAAAGAAAUGGCUCUGGUUAAUACCUGGGGUCGAUGACGGUACCGGAAGAAUAAGGACCGGCUAACUACGUGCCAGCAGCCGCGGUAA
RNAcentral lists this ribosomal RNA (507 nucleotides) under uncultured bacterium. RNAcentral describes it as "partial 16S ribosomal RNA". It matches the Rfam family "Bacterial small subunit ribosomal RNA", at positions 30 to 523 of the family's 1533-position model. The record is from RNAcentral.